GCGGCUCAGUGGCAGAGCACCUGCUUGGCAUGCAGAAGGUCCUUGGUUUGAUACCCACGGCAUCUCCA
Molecule: non-coding RNA, 68 nt
Organism: Podarcis lilfordi (Lilford's wall lizard)
Lineage: Eukaryota; Metazoa; Chordata; Lepidosauria; Squamata; Lacertidae
Source: the annotation of a GenBank genome assembly